Molecule: ribosomal RNA, 428 nt
Filed under: Verrucomicrobiota bacterium
Lineage: Bacteria; Pseudomonadati; Verrucomicrobiota
Description: Verrucomicrobia bacterium partial 16S ribosomal RNA
Rfam family: Bacterial small subunit ribosomal RNA
Source: RNAcentral
UAGGGAAUCUUCCGCAAUGGACGCAAGUCUGACGGAGCAACGCCGCGUGAGUGAAGAAGGUUUUCGGAUCGUAAAACUCUGUUGUAAGAGAAGAACAAAUUGUAGAGUAACUGCUACAGUCUUGACGGUAUCUUACCAGAAAGCCACGGCUAACUACGUGCCAGCAGCCGCGGUAAUACGUAGGGGGCUAGCGUUAUCCGGAUUUACUGGGCGUAAAGGGUGCGUAGGUGGUCUUUCAAGUCGGUGGUUAAAGGCUACGGCUCAACCGUAGUUAGCCUCCGAAACUGGAAGACUUGAGUGCAGGAGAGGAAAGUGGAAUUCCCAGUGUAGCGGUGAAAUGCGUAGAUAUUGGGAGGAACACCAGUAGCGAAGGCGGCUUUCUGGACUGCAACUGACACUGAGGCACGAAAGCGUGGGUAGCAAACAGG